UGGGGGAAGGACCACGCCUCCCUACUCCCGGGCCAAUCCCAUGCCAGGAAGUAGGGGGGUGGGACCCUUGGGGCACACUGGGGGAUCCAGUUCUCCUGGCCACAAUAUUUUAAAACUGGCUCCUGCCAUUUCAGUUCCAGCUCCCAUUUUCUGUCUCCUGGAUACAACGGCAACCCAAUACCAGCACCUUGAAUACUACCUUGGAUAUAGAAGAUCGUCAAUAAAAACUUGUUGAAUUAAAGACAAAGAAUCCCACUGAGCAAUGUGUACACCAUUAAGGCAUGGAGAAUCCCCUGCCAGAUUGACAAACUGGGAGCCCUGGAUACUAAAUUUAUCCAGAAUCCAUUUGGGGCAGCAUAUUGGUGGGAAGACCUCAGAGAAAGGAAGCUUUUCUCCAUUACUGCAUUACUCACAAGACCAGGAUGAGGCCAAAAUGUGGGUUCCUCCAUUAUGCCCUAGAGAAUUUUUCAUUCUGGACGAUCAUUGUUGCCUUGGAAUUCACUGAGAGAUAAGUAACUUCUUGUCCCUGUCACUAGAUGUUUCAUCACAGAAUCUCCAUUUAAGAACUGUGCCCAUUCCAGUUGUCUCUUCAUUUCCUGACAGGAUAUAAUCUAGACUACAUCUGUCCCCAGAAUGAAUACCUUCUCUUUCUCAUUUUUCAACUUUCUGUUAUGUGAUAUAUUUCCCAAAAAGAAUGGCAAACUCUUUGAGGGUAGAAAAUUGCCUUUCCUUUUGCUCAUAUUUGUAUUCUCGUCAAAUAGCACAGUGCUUGACAUAUAGUGAAUUCUAAAUAAAUGCUUGUAUACUAUAAAAUAGGGGUAAUAA
Molecule: long non-coding RNA, 825 nt
Filed under: Monodelphis domestica (gray short-tailed opossum)
Lineage: Eukaryota; Metazoa; Chordata; Mammalia; Didelphimorphia; Didelphidae
Description: lncRNA (ENSMODG00000044226.1)
Source: RNAcentral